RNAcentral lists this ribosomal RNA (516 nucleotides) under Gryllus assimilis. Its description in RNAcentral is "partial 16S ribosomal RNA". It matches the Rfam family "Bacterial large subunit ribosomal RNA", at positions 1875 to 2611 of the family's 2925-position model. Lineage: Eukaryota; Metazoa; Arthropoda; Insecta; Orthoptera; Gryllidae. The record is from RNAcentral.
CUUCUUGGAUUGAUAUGAAGUCGUGCCUGCCCACUGAGUUAUUAAAUGGCCGCGGUAUAUUGACCGUGCAAAGGUAGCAUAAUCAUUAGUCUUUUAAUUGGAGGCUGGAAUGAAUGGUUUGACGAAACAAUAACUGUCUCAGGAUAAUUAAUUGAAUUUUAUUUUUGAGUCAAAAAGCUUAAAUAUUAACAGGGGACGAGAAGACCCUAUAGAUCUUAAUAUUAUUAUAUUAAAAUGUAUAUUUAGAGGUAUUUAAUGUAUUUUAUUAUUUAAUGUUUUGUUGGGGUGACAAGGGAAUAAUUUAACUUCUUUAUAUUUUACUAUGAUGGUUGGUUAAUUGAUCCUAUUAUUAUGGAAUAAAGACAAAGAUACCUUAGGGAUAACAGCGUAAUAUUAUUGGAGAGUUCAUAUUGAUAAUAAGGAUUGCGACCUCGAUGUUGGAUUAAGAAAAUUAUUAGGUGCAGGAGCUUAAUAUAUUGGUCUGUUCGACCAUUAAAUUCUUACGUGAUCUGAGUU